This 455-nucleotide ribosomal RNA is filed under the name uncultured bacterium. Its description in RNAcentral is "bacterial SSU rRNA". It matches the Rfam family "Bacterial small subunit ribosomal RNA", at positions 340 to 788 of the family's 1533-position model. The record is from RNAcentral.
UACGGAAGGCAGCAGUGGGGAAUAUUGCACAAUGGGCGCAAGCCUGAUGCAGCCAUGCCGCGUGUAUGAAAAAGGCCUUCGGGUUGUAAAGUACUUUCAGUCGUGAGGAAGGUGUUAAGGUUAAUAACCUUAGCAAUUGACGUUAGCGACAGAAGAAGCACCGGCUAACUCCGUGCCAGCAGCCGCGGUAAUACGGAGGGUGCGAGCGUUAAUCGGAAUUACUGGGCGUAAAGGGCACGCAGGCGGUUAAUUAAGUUGGAUGUGAAAUCCCCGGGCUUAACCUGGGAAUGGCAUUCAAGACUGGUUAGCUAGAGUCUUGUAGAGGGGGUAGAAUUCCAUGUGUAGCGGUGAAAUGCGUAGAGAUGUGGAGGAAUACCGGUGGCGAAGGCGGCCCCUGGACAAAGACUGACGCUCAUGUGCGAAAGCGUGGGGAGCAAACAGGGAUUAGAUACCCG